UCGUGGCAUCAUCACUUGACACUCGGCCUCACAUCACUCAAACCACCUCAUGGCAUAUAAAUUUAUCUCAGUCCCCCGUCCUCAAAUCACUCAGAAUAUCCUCACAUAUGGCCCUCGGCCUCACUCAGUCCGAAAAAACAUCACAAGCCCCACGGGUAUUAGUAAUACAGUAGUUCUUAACCCAGAACAUCAUUUAGAAAUAUCAUUAAAUUUCAAAUCCGAGUAAAAGUGGCUGAGUUUGUAAAACAGUAAAUACUAACAGGACUGAGUUCAAGUAAUAAAUCAAACAGUGAGGAAAUAGUGAUAAAAAUCCCCGAAUGGUUCAAAUAAUCGAUACAAAGCCCAAAUAUGACAAUCAAC
This 360-nucleotide long non-coding RNA is filed under the name Nicotiana benthamiana. RNAcentral's name for it is "long non-coding RNA (NBEN_LNC024915)". Lineage: Eukaryota; Viridiplantae; Streptophyta; Magnoliopsida; Solanales; Solanaceae. The record is from RNAcentral.